Molecule: long non-coding RNA, 206 nt
Filed under: Trifolium pratense (red clover)
Lineage: Eukaryota; Viridiplantae; Streptophyta; Magnoliopsida; Fabales; Fabaceae
Description: long non-coding RNA (TPRA_LNC008193)
Source: RNAcentral
AUUGAAAUUGCAUUCAGACUAUCAAUUUUAGGGACAUCGUGGAACAUAAACUCAAUAGGGACAUAUAUUCAAUUUUGCAUCUAAAGCAUCGAGGGUCAUCUACUCCAAUUACAUGUGAAGUUAUGAAGCAUUCACGUUGAAAUGACAUUCAGACUAUAAAUUUUAGGGACAUCGUGGGACAUAAACUCAAUUAAGGGACAUAUAUU